Molecule: ribosomal RNA, 612 nt
Filed under: Leptographium terebrantis
Lineage: Eukaryota; Fungi; Ascomycota; Sordariomycetes; Ophiostomatales; Ophiostomataceae
Also listed under: 1 other name
Description: eukaryotic LSU rRNA
Rfam family: Eukaryotic large subunit ribosomal RNA (bases 229-612)
Source: RNAcentral
UGCCUGUCCGAGCGUCAUUUCCUCCCUCACGCAGCGCGCCUGCGUGGUGUUGGGGCGUUUCUGCGGCCAGGCCUGCGCCUAGCAGGCCUCCGCAGCCCCCGAAAGCCAGUGGCGGGCCGGCAGCGGGCUCCGAGCGCAGUAAGCAGCAGUGCCCUCGCUCUGGACGCCUCCGCCUGCGCCCUGCCCCAAAUGACCGGCAGACGCAAGUCUGCCCCUCCUUCUCAAGGUUGACCUCGGAUCAGGUAGGACUACCCGCUGAACUUAAGCAUAUCAAUAAGCGGAGGAAAAGAAACCAACAGGGAUUGCCCCAGUAACGGCGAGUGAAGCGGCAACAGCUCAGAUUUGGAAUCUGGCCCCCAGGGCCCGAGUUGUAAUCUGGAGAGGAUGCUUCUGGCGCGGCGCCUUCCGAGUUCCCUGGAACGGGACGCCGGAGAGGGUGAGAGCCCCGUACGGUUGGACGCCUAGCCUUUGUGAAGCUCCUUCGACGAGUCGAGUAGUUUGGGAAUGCUGCUCAAAAUGGGAGGUAAAUUUCUUCUAAAGCUAAAUACCGGCCAGAGACCGAUAGCGCACAAGUAGAGUGAUCGAAAGAUGAAAAGCACUUUGAAAAGAGGG